GAUGAACGCUGGCUACAGGCUUAACACAUGCAAGUCGAGGGGAAACGACGGGGAAGCUUGCUUCCCCGGGCGUCGACCGGCGCACGGGUGAGUAACGCGUAUCCAACCUGCCUCUGACUGAGGGAUAACCCGUCGAAAGUCGGCCUAAUACCUCAUGGUAUCGUCUGCGGGCAUCCAACGACGAUUAAAGAUUUCAUCGGUCAGGGAUGGGGAUGCGUCUGAUUAGCUUGUUGGCGGGGUAACGGCCCACCAAGGCUACGAUCAGUAGGGGUUCUGAGAGGAAGGUCCCCCACAUUGGAACUGAGACACGGUCCAAACUCCUACGGGAGGCAGCAGUGAGGAAUAUUGAUCAAUGGGCGAGAGCCUGAACCAGCCAAGUAGCGUGCAGGAAGACGGCCCUAUGGGUUGUAAACUGCUUUUAUGCGGGGAUAAAGUGAGGGACGUGUCCCUCAUUGCAGGUACCGCAUGAAUAAGGACCGGCUAAUUCCGUA
Molecule: ribosomal RNA, 491 nt
Filed under: uncultured bacterium
Lineage: Bacteria
Description: partial 16S ribosomal RNA
Rfam family: Bacterial small subunit ribosomal RNA
Source: RNAcentral